This 73-nucleotide transfer RNA is filed under the name Chloroflexota bacterium. RNAcentral's name for it is "Chloroflexi bacterium tRNA-Arg". It matches the Rfam family "tRNA". Rfam says of the family: Transfer RNA (tRNA) molecules are approximately 80 nucleotides in length. Their secondary structure includes four short double-helical elements and three loops (D, anti-codon, and T loops). Further hydrogen bonds mediate the characteristic L-shaped molecular structure. tRNAs have two regions of fundamental functional importance: the anti-codon, which is responsible for specific mRNA codon recognition, and the 3' end, to which the tRNAs corresponding amino acid is attached (by aminoacyl-tRNA synthetases). tRNAs cope with the degeneracy of the genetic code in two manners: having more than one tRNA (with a specific anti-codon) for a particular amino acid; and 'wobble' base-pairing, i.e. permitting non-standard base-pairing at the 3rd anti-codon position. Lineage: Bacteria; Bacillati; Chloroflexota. The record is from RNAcentral.
GCCCCCUUAGCUCAGCGGCCAGAGCAGUGGUCUUCGGAACCAAAGGUCAGGGGUUCGAAUCCUCUAGGGGGCG